CAGUGGCCACGCUCUUGAACAACGUGAUGACAAUGAAUGCUCUCGAAUGCUUCUUUCUGCAUGUUUCAGGUCAAACUUCUAGCCCUCUCCAGAGCCAGCAAUGUAUGAGUUUUGGCCGUCCAUUUUCAAAUUGUAUGAGUUUUGGCCAUCCCGCACAUUCUAGUGCAUCUUCCAGCACACUACGUAGAAGUGCCUUUGAAAACGAGGUGAUCAGGGUGCUGCAUCCGAUCCGCCUUACUCAAGAGGAUCAUUCAGCUCAGAUGAAUACUCUGACGUCUGGCCUGGAGGAGCGCCCAUCAGUGACUGCAGCAGAAGAGCGCGUAUUUGAGCCCUAUGAAGAGCUAGAUAAGUUCCUCGAAUUUGACAUGACUCUGUAAGAUGACACUGAGAUGAAGAAGUUGACAGAAACUCUGCGGAAGUAUGGAGGUAUCAAUCUCAGGGACGCCACACAAAGAAUCCUAAGAGCGUUGAUGUCAGACGAAGUCGCAACGGCAUUCAGCUGGAGAGGAAACAAAGGGAAAAAAAGGUUCUGCGACCUUCUCUGCUGCGAGGCUGU
Molecule: long non-coding RNA, 556 nt
Organism: Ornithodoros turicata
Lineage: Eukaryota; Metazoa; Arthropoda; Arachnida; Ixodida; Argasidae
Exons: 3
Source: RefSeq, a predicted model, not a curated record